UCUGUCCUUUGCAAUUGGCACAUUAUCUUGUUUCACUUUAUGGGCAUGCAAAUUUAAAACUCUGACUUCAAAAUCACCAGUGCCACAGUACAAACCCGCUUCUAAAUAAAGUGACAUAGUUGAGCUGGAGAUGGAGAGCAGAUGAUGAGAACCAGACAUUGCAGAGGCAGCAGGAAAGAAUUGGCUAAGGGAGGGAUUUGGAGAGGAUGGAAGAGAGAGAGGGAGGAGCCAUGGGGAGAGGGAUGCACAGUAGGUCUAGCUUAAGUGCUGCGUAUUUCAAGUUCCCCUAGAGUCCAUUUCCCAUGUCCGUCCUCUUUAAAGUGAUGAGCUCUCUACAUCAGGAGACACAGGGUGGCGACUUGCAGGUGUGGCCUGAGACAGCAGAAGUAGGAGCUCUGCAGGAAGUCCAGAUGGCAGUGUGCCCACUUCCCCAGCAUGAAGCAUCUGUGUCCAGCACAGGAGGAGGUGUAGAGAGACCCUUGCCUGAGCAUCCCUGAGAAAAGGAAGAGCCAGUGGUUUGGGGGACAAGUGAUGCCAUCGAGUGCCACCUCGGUGACAUGCUGCAGCCGCUGACCAGGGUCAAUGCCUCCAAGCCCUCAGAGGGAAGGAGGUGAGGCAAGGUGAGUCCUGCAGGGGCUUCCUAUCUGGAAAAGGCAGGAUAUCUCAGUCAGCAAGCAGCACCCAUUUUCUGGAGAUCAACAUGCAGAUGAGUUAGCCUGACACCCUAGGCCCUCCUGGUGUGCCUUCUGCCUGUUUCUGGCCCAUCUCACUCUGUAGGUGACUGAUAGGUCACCUCUGCACAGCUGCAUCUUCUGUCUCCUUUCUGCCCAGGGAAUUAAUCCCUUGGUCCUCAAGAGACUCAGGUCAGCUUCAGCCUCAGGGCUUUUGUGCCCACUGUCACCACCCUGACCCCCACUGCCAGCACUUCCUAACCUGACUUAACUCUCCGUAACAUUUCUUCCCAACACAUUCAUGUAUUUGCAGUUGGGACUCGUGUGCACUGAGUUGGUUCUAGCGUUGCAGGAAUGGUUGGGUCUGCUCAGUUUCUUCACCACUUUAAUCUGGGGCACUAGGCUUUCCACCAGCCCCGAUGUUAAUGACAGAGCAGCUGAGAGACUUUGAUCAGUCUUCAUCCCUGUGGUUGGUACGUGGGUCCUUCCAGAAGCCUAGGGUUUCUUUUCCUAUCCACACCUACCACAGUUCCUGGGACACAGUAAAGGAGCCCACUUAACGAAGUGGGACUUGACGUCCUGGGCUGCAAUUUUCCAUUUGGGUGUCUGGGUUUGUGCCUUCAGAGCCCUCCCCAGGCUUCAUGGGGUGCCCCAUCCCAGCUCUGGGGAGGGCUAUCUGAGAAGACAGAAGAAGGGGCUGGCCUAACCAGUGCUGUGUUUCUAUCCCAGAGGAGGCUGAGGAUCCUGCAUGCAUUCCCAUCUUCUGGGUCAGCCAGUGGGUAGACCAAUCAAUGAAGUAUGGACUUGGUAGGUGUCUCCAGAAUGUGGGAUGGGCAGGGGACGGUGUGGCCAUGGCAGCCUUUUAGUGAACAAGUGAGUGAUGUCUGUAAUUGUGUGGCUGUGUUACCAAGAAUUGUUAGGGCCUAAUACAUGCAAGCACUCUACUACUGAGCUGUUCCCAGCCUUUGCCCACCUCCUCCUGCCUUUCUAAGACAGCCCUCCCCCUGCCAUUAGGGUGUCAGCUCUGUGACAACAGUACAGGGGCACCCUUAAUGACUCAGCAUGCCUCGUCCUCUACAAUGAUGGCGACAGCCUCCAGUACAUAGACCAUGAUGGUAUGGAGUCUCACCCCACCAUCAGCUCCCACCCUGACUCCUUGAUGAAGAAGGUGGGAACUGGCUGCUGAGACACAGUGUGGCAGGAUAUGGGGGCUGCCUCAGGUCAGGCCCUCAUUCUGGAAUCCCUACCCCAACUUUCCAACCAGAUCCCUCUCCUCCAGCAUUUCCAAAGUUACAUGAAUGAACACCUGCAGAAGCAGGGGCCAACACCACACCCUGGGAAGGUGAUGAGCUGGCCCAGCUGCCCUACCUGAAAAAAUGGCGCCAUCAUCCUGCACCUCAGCAAUGGCACUAUACAGAUUGAUUUCUUCCAGCCUGUGCCCCCUGAUGGCAGCUGUGACCUACAUCAGCAAGAACCGGGACUUCCACACAUACAGCCUGAGCCUUCUGGAGGAAUAUGGAUGCUGCGAGGAACUGAGUAGACAGCUAUGCUAUGCCCACACCAUGGUAGACAGGCUGCUGAGCUCAAAGUCUACCUGCAACAGACUCGAGGAUGACUCCUAGGCCUCUGUCCUUUGGGCUGGUGCCCUUUACUAUGCAAGCUCUGCCUGGGACUGCAUUGCUGGCUUCUGGGACUGCUGUUCAGUGCCCCUGUCCAUGGGGCUGGGUAGGAAGGGGUUGCUGUGUAAGUUAUUUUUGUAUAUGUUUGGAUCUGAGUUUAUAAGCUCUUCCCCUGCCCUCAGUCUACUGUAUAACUUGUAUAGAUAUAUUUCUAUUGAAUUGAGACUGUUACUUCCUUGGCUUUAUAUUUAUUCAAUACAUGUGCAUAUCUUUUCUUA
This is a long non-coding RNA of Peromyscus leucopus (white-footed mouse), 2568 nucleotides long. RefSeq lists it as uncharacterized. NCBI's taxonomy places the organism in Eukaryota, Metazoa, Chordata, Mammalia, Rodentia, Cricetidae. The record is from RefSeq and is a predicted model, not a curated record. The transcript has 3 exons.